GGACUACCCGGGUAUCUAAUCCUGUUUGCUCCCCACGCUUUCGCGCCUCAGCGUCAGUUACGGUCCAGAGAGCCGCCUUCGCCACCGGUGUUCUUCCCAAUAUCUACGAAUUUCACCUCUACACUGGGAAUUCCACUCUCCUCUCCCGUACUCCAGUCCUCGAGUAUCAAGCGCACCUCCCAGGUUGAGCCCGGGGCUUUCACGCCUGACUUCAAGGACCGCCUGCGCGCCCUUUACGCCCAGUAAUUCCGAACAACGCUCGCCCCCUUCGUAUUACCGCGGCUGCUGGCAC
Molecule: ribosomal RNA, 292 nt
Filed under: uncultured bacterium
Lineage: Bacteria
Description: partial 16S ribosomal RNA
Source: RNAcentral